GUCCACGCCGUAAACGAUGGAUACUAGCUGUUGGGUGCAAACUCAGUGGCUAAGCGAAAGUGAUAAGUAUCCCACCUGGGGAGUACGUUCGCAAGAAUGAAACUCAAAGGAAUUGACGGGGCCCGCACAAGCGGUGGAGCAUGUGGUUUAAUUCGAUGAUACGCGAGGAACCUUACCAAGGCUUAAAUGUAGUUUGACAGAUUUGGAAACAGAUUUUUCUUCGGACAAAUUACAAGGUGCUGCAUGGUUGUCGU
RNAcentral lists this ribosomal RNA (254 nucleotides) under uncultured bacterium. Its description in RNAcentral is "partial 16S ribosomal RNA". It matches the Rfam family "Bacterial small subunit ribosomal RNA", at positions 793 to 1055 of the family's 1533-position model. The record is from RNAcentral.